CCUACGGGGGGCUGCAGUCGAGAAUUAUUCACAAUGGGGGAAACCCUGAUGGUGCGACGCCGCGUGGGGGAAUGAAGGUCUUCGGAUUGUAAACCCCUGUCAUGUGGGAGCAAAUUAAAAAGAUAGUACCACAAGAGGAAGAGACGGCUAACUCUGUGCCAGCAGCCCCGGUAAUCCAGAGGUCUCAAGCGUUGUUCGGAAGCACUGGGCGUAAAGCGUGCGUAGGCUGGUUUGUAAGUCGUGUGUGAAAGGCGCGGGCUCAACCCGCGGAGGGCACAGGAUACUGCGGGACUAGAGUGAUGGAGAGGGAACCGGAAUGCUCGGUGUAGCAGUGAAAUGCGUAGAUAUCGAGAGGAACACUCGUGGCGAAGGCGGGUUCCUGGACAUUAACUGACGCUGAGGCACGAAGGCCAGGGGAGCGAAAGGGAUUAGAUACCCCUGUAGUC
Molecule: ribosomal RNA, 446 nt
Filed under: uncultured bacterium
Lineage: Bacteria
Description: partial 16S ribosomal RNA
Rfam family: Bacterial small subunit ribosomal RNA
Source: RNAcentral